AUUAAUUCCUCUGACAUUCCAAAAAAAAGUUUGUAUAGACAUAAGAAAGGUUAGGAAUGAGACUCCCCUUUAGAGAGGGAAGAACCCGAAGACUGGGUAGAUUUAAAAGCAUUUGGGAUACUUAGGAUUGGCAAAGACAGAUCAGGCAUAUGGGAGGAUUUUGAAGUGGUGUUAGAGAAGGAAGUUAAAGGAGCUGGAGGCUCAAAAGAAUUUUGGGGUUGGGUAAUGGUAAUAGAAGGCUGAAAGGGUUGAUGGGUUUGGGUUUGGGGGGAAGCUUGGGUAUUUGAGAUUGUGAAAUUAGGAGAGACAACAAGGUUAGAUGAGGGGUAGUCCUCCAUCAACGAUGAAGAUGACGCAGGAGCAUCCUCAAGGUUUGCUAAACAAGAGAAAUAGUUUCUUUUAGUGGUGACUAACUGUUUUUUGACAACAUGGUUUUUGGCUGCAGGUUUUGAAGAAACUUGGGUCCAAGAAGAGUCCUCUUUGAUAGGAACAGAGACCUGAGAAGUAGGAAUGAUUCUAUUCUGAGCCGGAAGAGCAAGUAAAUGUGUAAUCUCAUCUUUCCUUAUUAUGAUGACAUUUGUGUUAUCAGCUUCAAGAGGAACUGAACUUCCAACAACAUCCGCAGGAGAGACUGAGGGAUCGACACCAGAUUCUGUCUCCAUUCCCACUAUGGAAGCAUUGGCGGUCUCUAAGACGGCUUGUUCCGCAGCUUCUGUGUCCAUUGCCACUACAGAAGCUUCAGCAGUUUCUAUGACAAUUUGAUCAACUGGUGAAAGAGAAACAGUAGGAGGAGAAGACUGCGGAGGGGAAGAAGACUGCGGAGGAGGAGAAAUUGGUUUUGGAAGCCAUUGGGAUUCCCUCUGAAAAAUGACCUUGCCUUUCUGUUUUGGCAUCCAUUUUGAAGUAGGGCAGUGAGAUUGCAAAUGGCCGAGUUGAUGGCAGUUUGGACAGGUAGGUGGAAUCCACGGAUACUCGACAGAGAGAGGAAUGACAGUACGAAUCUUUGAAAGUAUAAACACGAAAACCUAGCUUAGA
Molecule: long non-coding RNA, 1035 nt
Filed under: Arabidopsis lyrata
Lineage: Eukaryota; Viridiplantae; Streptophyta; Magnoliopsida; Brassicales; Brassicaceae
Description: long non-coding RNA (ALYR_LNC002665)
Source: RNAcentral